CAAGUUCACCACCCGAACACUAAUUAUAGUGCAUCCCCUCACAUGUGACCCUAAUCACCCCUUUUGCCCUCCCCCCUCCCCCCUUCCCCAAUGGUAACCACCAGUCCAAUCUCCAAUGCUAUGUGUUUUUUUUUUUUGUCGUUUUUAUCUUCUACUUAUGAGUGAGAUCAUAUGGUAUUUGACUUUCUCCCUCUGACUUAUUUCACUCAGUGUAAUACCCUCAAGGUCCAUCCAUGUUGUCACAAAGUGCAUAAUUUCUUUAGCAUCUGCCUCUCCCACUGGACUACAAAUACCCGAAGGACUGUUUUGUACAAACAGCAUCUAUACAAAUAAGUGCUUAAAUUUUUGUAGAAUGAGCUAGCAGAUGAAUUAAUAAACAUAAAUAUUGCUGAAUUAAACAAAUGAAAUAUCAACCAAGGUUAAAUUCAAUCUUCGUUCAAAAAGAAUUUGUGAGCUCUGAGUCAACGGGAUAUUCUUAAGGCUGAGUCCAGCAGUCCUUCAGUAGGAGAGGCAGUGAACAUGCCUAGGGACUUACUAUCUUGGUUGUUUCCUGAAUUUUCCGGAUUCUUAAUACCUCUUCCAGAAUACGGUUUUCAGCACCUUGUUUCUUGACUCUGCUGUUUCAUGAUGGUUAACCUAACGCUUGAACAACAGACAGCUGCGUAGUACUUCCUGGUUUCGUCUCUGGCCUCCAGUCACAAGGAUAUGCCAAGUCCAUGAAAAGACCAGGAAGAUUAGCCCUGAGCUAACAUCUGCUGCCAAUCCUCCUCUCUUUGCUGAGGAAGACUGGUCCUGAGCCAACAUCCGUGCCCAUCUUCCUCUGCUUUAUAUGUGGGACGCCUGCCACAGUGUGGUUGACAAGCGGUGCCAUGUCUGCACCCAGGAUCCGAACUGGUGAACUCCGGGCCGCGAGAAGUGGAACAUGCGAACUUAACGGCUGCACCACUGGGCCGGCCCCAAUAGCAUGUUUUAUAAAAUGUUCUGAACCAUUUUUUUUCUAACUUUGUUUUAAAAUAAUUUUAAACUUACAGAAAAGCUACGAGAAUAGUAUGAGGAACUAUCAUAUACCUAAUGCCCAGAUUUACCUAUAGUUUAUAUUUUGUCCUAUUUGUUUUUUAUUUUUCUCUUCUUUCAUUUUUUUUAAUUGAGGUAUCCUUUCCAUACAUUAUAUUAGUUUCAU
Molecule: long non-coding RNA, 1180 nt
Filed under: Equus caballus (horse)
Lineage: Eukaryota; Metazoa; Chordata; Mammalia; Perissodactyla; Equidae
Description: lncRNA (ENSECAG00000044110.1)
Source: RNAcentral